RNAcentral lists this long non-coding RNA (300 nucleotides) under Cyanistes caeruleus (blue tit). RNAcentral describes it as "lncRNA (ENSCCEG00000015754.1)". Lineage: Eukaryota; Metazoa; Chordata; Aves; Passeriformes; Paridae. The record is from RNAcentral.
AUUUUUUCUUUAUAUUGAAUUUUUUGUUUUCCAGAGAUGAUGUUCUCUGCCUGUUAUUAUAAAAAUACUUCGUUUUGAGCUGGCCAUGACUGUGUUGUAUGAACAGUAUCACUCCUGAAUUGCUGCUGCAAUAUUUUGUGUUUAACCAGCUCCUAACCAAUGUUCACUCCUGCUUUGUCCAUCCCUGGUGAAGCUGCAUUCUCACCCUCUGAAAAUCAACACCAUUUUACCUGGCUGAUAAAAACGACCAAGUUCAAUAAAAGAUGCCAGAAAACUCAGAAGAGAAAACUACAAGAUUGA